UGGGGGAUAUUGCACAAUGGAGGAAACUCUGAUGCAGCAACGCCGCGUGAGGGAAGACGGUUUUCGGAUUGUAAACCUCUGUCCUUGGUGACGAAAGAAAUGACGGUAGCCAAGGAGGAAGCUCCGGCUAACUACGUGCCAGCAGCCGCGGUAAUACGUAGGUGGCAAGCGUUGUCCGGAAUUACUGGGCGUAAAGGAUGCGUAGGCGGCCUCUUAAGUGGGAUGUGAAAUGCCGGGGCUUAACCCCGGAGGUGCAUUCCAUACUGGGAGGCUGGAGUGCAGGAGAGGAAAGCGGAAUUCCCAGUGUAGCGGUGAAAUGCGUAGAGAUUGGGAGGAACACCAGUGGCGAAGGCGGCUUUCUGGACUGUAACUGACGCUGAGGCAUGAAAGUGUGGGGAGCAAACAGG
Molecule: ribosomal RNA, 407 nt
Filed under: uncultured prokaryote
Description: bacterial SSU rRNA
Rfam family: Bacterial small subunit ribosomal RNA
Source: RNAcentral